AUGUCAGAGAGCAUCGUUAGGAAGGUACAACCCUUCACCAUCGGAACCAGGCUCUCCGUCUCUGGACCUUCCACCAGGUCUAAAGGUCCAAACUUCCCCCAGCAGCCGUCCUGGCAGAGCGACCGGGUCUCCCUCUACCUCAGCCAGGUGCAGGUGAGUGUGGCUACUCCUCAUCUAGCUCCCCUUGCUAACCGGACCACCCCAACAUCUGUACCUGUUAAACAGCAGCAGGAGGACAUAUCUACCCAGGACCACCGGAACCAGAAUACCAUGUCUGUGUCUCCCAACUCCCACCGGAGCUCUGUCUCUCCUACCGCCACUUCCAGAUCCAUCAGCAAGAUCACCAUCUCUGGGAGCCCAGAGGACAGCUCCUGGAGGAGACAGGAGGAGUCAGACCACAGGGUGGUUAUUGAGAAGGAGGACAGCUCCUGGAGGAGACAGGAGGAGUCAGACCACAGGGUGGUCAUUGAGAAGGAGGACAGCUCCUGGAGGAGACAGGAGGAGUCAGACCACAGGGUGGUCAUUGAGAAGGAGGACAGCUCCUGGAGGAGACAGGAGGAGUCAGACCACAGGGUGGUCAUUGAGAAGGAGGACAGCUCCUGGAGGACACAGGAGGAGUCAGACCACAGGGUGGUCAGUAUAGGACCAGGACCGGGACGACCCCCUGUCACAGGAACUCCCGGAUCAGAAAACAUCAACAACAACAACAACAACAUCAGCAGCUCCAAGCAACAGCUGCCCAGAAUAGUGGGAGUCAGCUGUGAGAACCAACCCAGCUCACAUAUUAAGGACCAUGGCAGCAUGUUUGGGUUCCUACAGACAUUGGGGCCCAGAGCAAGGUCCCCAAGGAAAGACAGAGAUGCUGAGACAGUAGUGGUAGCCCAGAAUGACAGCUACACCCAACGCACUUCCCUCUUUAACCAGGAAGUACUACAGGAGGGUAGAGGGUUAAUCAGAGCCCAGCACCCCGGCAACUCUAAGAUCCAGGACUUCUUGAUUCGGCUGGAGGAGUUAUGGGAGGAGCUAAGGAGACGACAUCACAGGAACCAGGUCUACCUGCAGGCAGGGGAGGAGAUGAGCUUUAGGACAGUACAUCUCCUCCAGGCCUUGGGUAGUAUAGAAGCCUGGUUGGAGGCAGCAGAGCUGUCCAUGUCGAACUCCCAGUUGGCAGUAGACCCAGAGACCAUGAGGCUGGCUGAGAGAGACAGCUGCCUGCUCCAGACAGAGAUGUCCUGCCGGGGAAUGGAGCUAACAGCACUCAGACAGGAGAUGGACAGGCUGGGUGGUCAGCGGGAGGGUCAGUGCCCAGGAUACCCCAACACUGAGGGCCUUCAGGUGCCACAACACCACACACAGGUCCUCCCAGAUCUUAUGGACCAGGUGGAGAGAAAGUACCAACGUGUCCAGACCGCGUUGACCCAGCAGAGUUCGUCGCUGCAGGACACCAGGAUGCUGACAGAGUUUCUGGAGCGGGUGGAGCUAGAGGAGAGGGUGGAGCUAGAGGAGACCCAGAAGGCCAGGGGGAGGGGCUACAGCAGUAACCUUGGACAGCCUCUCCACGGUGAGAUCAGCUCAGCUCUUACCCUGCUGGGUGAUGGGUGUGGAAGCGGUGGUGGGGAGCCAAUGAUGGAGCCGCUGGGAAACCCUGUAGAGGAGCUGCAGGAGGCAGUGGAGAUGUUGAAUGACACGGUCAGAGAGAGAGGACGAUCACAGAAUCACAUCCAUGAUCAAGCCAUCCAGACUAUGAUCCGACAGCUGGCUGUGCUGUCAGUGCGUGUGGAGGACAGUCUGUGCUGCAGUAGAAAGCUGAACCAGGAACUCCUACAGAGAGAGAAAGACAUGGCCAUGCGCUGUGAACCAGAACAAUGUGGACUAGAGGGACUGAAGGAACAGCAAGAAAACCUAGAGGUGAAUUAUGCUGUGCUGAAGGAAGAGGUGGAGGAGCUCCAGAGACAGACUGGUUAUCUGGAGGAGCUAUGCCCAGAGAGAGUGACCUUCCUGGCGGUGGAGGUGCAGGGAGCCCUGGGGGUAUGGAGGGAAUUGAGGAGGAACGUAGAGGGGAACAGAGACAGAUUACGACAGUUUGUUCACCUGCAGGACUUCUUCAGGACCUACCUGGCCAUGAUAUCGUGGAUGGAGGACACCCGGGAGUGUAUUUUCUCUGAGAGAGUGUUGCAUUGUGGGAGGGACGACCAGGAGCCAAUGGCUGCGGUGAUGGAGAUGGACGUCCAGAUAGACAGAAAGUUGGAGGAGUUGGAGGAGAUGGAUGCUGCAGGGAGGAACCUGCUGAACGCUGAGCACCACCUGGCCAACAUGGACAACAACAUGACAUCAGCUCCUGCAUACGAGAGUAUUUUACUGCCCCGCCUCCACACCAAGACCUCCUCCUCUUCAUCCCCCUCCUCCUCCUCCGGGGCUCCUCAAUCUUGCGUCUCUUUCUCCUCCUCCCUGCCCAAGAACACCUCCAUCUUCUCUAGUCUGAAGAUAAGGAGCAAGAAGAGGAGAAGGAAGAGAGACGCUGGCCGCCACACCAUUCAGAAAAUCAUGGUUGUAGAGGGGGAGGAGCAGACAGAGGUGGCAUGUCCUGCUGAAGCUGCACCCCAGCAAAUCACGCUGUACGACACCCAGACCUGGCCAAUGAAGGAGGGCCGGAGGAAGAAGAAGAGCCUAUUAAAGGCCGAGGGGGUGGGGCCAGGGCAGGGGGUGGAACUCGUGGACUACAUGGAUAACCCAUUGGCCAGGGAUAUUGAAGAUGAAUGUUCUGGGGUCUCCACUGUCAGCCCCUAUGCAGUGACAGAGGCAGUCUCUAUAGCUCCACCCAGGGGCCAGGUGAGGAGCCACUGCAGGUUCCUGUCUCUGGGGUCUGUUUUGACCUUCGACCUCUCCAAAGACAUGAGGUUGAUCCCCAGUAUACAGGAUGUCAUCACUAUAGGACUCCCAGAACACAGGGGAACCCCCAACCCAAACCUCAAUCCCAACCCUCACACAGAGACACAUGCAGCCCUCAGCUCUUUCAAACAUACCCGCUCCCCUCCCUCAGACACGCACAGAGGACCAGACAAUGAGGCCGUCACUACUUACAGAUAUGAAACAAUGACACAGAUACAGACACAGCCACUACUGACACUGACACUGACACAGCCACUACUGACAAAGACACAACCACUACCGACACAGACACAACCACUACUGACACAGAUACAGACACAGACACAACCAUUACUGACACAGACACAGCCACUACUGAGACAGACACCGACACAAAUACUAAAACAGACAAAGCCACUGACACAGGCUGUUCAGCUAGAGCCUCUGUCUAAUCUAGAUACAGAUUUUCCUCCUCCUCCUCCUCCUGCCCUGGAUGAGGACUGGGAUCAGAACGUAUCAAGCAAUGACCUAUCCCUAUCACAGAUCCAGACCGUACUCCAGGAGCCUGAGCAAGAGUGGUCGGAGCUCAUCUUCAGCAAGCAACCACCAAUCACAGCUUAUUGCCCAAAGAGUCCCACUCCAAUGAACCGAGACCAUUACAAUUACAUGGAAACGACCAUGGUUAGUAGAAGUCCUAUUGUAAAGAGCAAGGACCCCUGUCCCUCCUCAGCCUAUCAGAACCAUGAGAGCAAGGACCCCUGUCCCUCCUCAGCCUAUCAGAACCAUGAGCGCAAGGACCCCUGUCCCUCCUCAGCCUAUCAGAACCAUGAGCGCAAGGACCCCUGUCCCUCCUCAGCCUAUCAGAACCAUGAGCGCAAGGACCCCUGUCCAUCCUCAGCCUAUAAGAACCAUGAGAGCAAGGACCCCUGUCCCUCCUCAGCCUAUCAGAACCACGAGUGCCUCAUUCAGGACCUCAAUGGACACCAGUACCAUCAUAGGUUGAAGACCCAUAGAGAGAGUGUUGACCUCCAGGAGACCAGCCAGGCUUCUCAGAUGGUUGUGAAUCUGAAGGUCAGUGGGUUAGGGAGUAUGAUGCAAGACUCUAUGGACUCUGGCAUCUCUGGUGUCUCCAACUCUGGGAGCUUGAAGCUCAAUGCACCUGAUGUUCUCCAAGAGCCCCAGCCCAUGAGGACUGUGGUGGGGAGGCUAGUGUCUCUGGAGGAGGGGCGCAUGGAGGCUGUGUCCACACCCAGGGAAAAUCCCACAGAAACCCCAGCUCCUGCCCACCCAGAGACAAAAACAACACCCAGAAACAGACACCACCAGACAGAGACAGAACUCGACUCUGAUCCGCUCGACCCCGACCUCACCAUCCAUCCAGACCACCAGCAGUUUGAGGAGGUAGAGGAGGAGCUGGAGGACAUCUGGAACCAUAGCAAUGGCUACAGACAGAGUAUCUCCUCUGACAUCAUGUACCAGCCACACCAAGAGGAGAAGGAGGGGGGAAGUAGCAACACCCCAGGACUGACCACAGACCCCCUCUCACCCCCCCAGGCCCAGCCCCAGGCUACCCCCUACAGGAAGCUGAUAACAACUUCUGCCCCUAACCUUCUGGUGGCUGAAUUCACACUCCCCUCCUCCCUCCAAACCCUACUGGGGUACAACCAGGACCAGAACCAGGACCAGGGCUUUAGCCAAGACCCUAACUCCAGAGAAGAGCUCCCUAUGCUGGCUAACAGAGACAUGAGGUCCUGGGCAGCUUUCCCUAUUCAGGACCAACCCUGGAGGACCACACCACUGGUCAAUGAAACGGCAGCAGAACCAGUCAAGCUGCCGGAAAUGGAGGACCAGAAGAGAUAUAUCUACCAUUAUAGAGAGGAGGAGGAAGAGGAUGAGGAGGAGAAGAUGGAGGACACAGGUUGUCCAAAGGACCCAUCAAUGAGUCUGCUGUCUGUCCACAUGGGUCUGCACGGAAACAAUCAGCGAGCUACAAGUUGUGGCACUCUGGAAGGUGUCAUGGAAAAGCAUGGAGAGAGUCUGGCCACAGGGGGGCGAUGUGGCACUAUGAAUGGGAGUGGGUCUGAGCUGCAGACGAUGGAGGGAACUCUGGAGAGGAAACACAAGCUGCAGCUGGGAGGGAAGAAGGCCAGGUCUCGAGCAUGGAGCUCCCAUCAUGCAGUGCUUUACAAACAGACACUCUGCUUCUACCAAGACAGAAAGGAUACACUGAGGAACUGUGUGUGUGGCCUGUCUCUAACCCUGACGGGAGCAGAAUGUGUCUCAGCCCCAGAGAACACUAAGAAACCACAGUGUUUCAGUCUGCGCUUAAGAGAUGGCUCAGAGUACCUCCUCAACACAGCAAACCGAUUCAUGAUGAAGAAAUGGAUGCUGAAAAUACAAGCCAACAGUGUGCCCAGUGAGCAUGUCUCCUCCAUGACGUCACCCAGCGACCUCUUGGUUCAGGACCACCCCGCCCCCUUCACCACCUCUUUCCUCUCACAAAGUACCAGCAGGGGGACGACCAGAGCCAAGGAGAUAGUUGUCCUGACCAGAGAGACCAGAGAGACUCACCGUCAGAUCCCUCAGUUGCACCCAGAGAAACAGCAGGACCCAACAUCCUCAUCACAUACAGGCCGUCGUGAAGAUAACUAUGACUCCCUGAGACAGAAACUGUGUGGUAGAUCCAGGGAGAACAGCCCUUCCUCCUUGCACUCCUCCAUCUCUCCUUUCUCCCUCCACAACUCGUCCUCCAUCCCUCCAUUCUCCCUCCACUCCCCUGUCUCUCCUCCUUUCUCCUCUGUCUAUAGAGGUGGUCAGGACUGGCUCAGUCAAGUGAACAAGUGUCACUCAUUUACCUCAGCAAGGUACCAGAAUAUUAAACCAGCGUUGCUGCCCCCAGGAGGCAGAGGCCGGGACUACGGAUCAGUGGGUCUGGACUGUGGGUCAAACUACUCCGUGACUAUGAUUAUAGGAGACAAGCAGUCUGCCGCCUCUCCCACUCUCAGUUGUGAUGGUAGUGGUCCAUCUAUCACCAGUCACACUGACCCACAGCGCCCCCUGCUGGAUGGAUGGCAGCACCACUCAUAUCACCAGGACUCUACUACAAGAAGGCAGCUUCACCGGCACCAAGCAAUGUACCACCACGACCAGGAACCAUCUCUGAGGUCCUGCACCGGUCUGCCUCCGCCACGCAAGAAGUCUGUCUUCAACAAGUUCUUUGGGAAGAAAGACUGA
Molecule: long non-coding RNA, 6102 nt
Filed under: Oncorhynchus mykiss (rainbow trout)
Lineage: Eukaryota; Metazoa; Chordata; Actinopteri; Salmoniformes; Salmonidae
Description: lncRNA (ENSOMYG00000065139.1)
Source: RNAcentral